GCUGGCGGCGUGCUUAACACAUGCAAGUGGAGCGACGAACCGGGCUUCGGCCCGGGGYAAAGCCGCGAACGGGUGAGUAUCACGUGGGUAACCUGCCCCGAUGACCGGGAUAACCCGAGGAAACUCGGGCUAAUACCGGAUGUGCUCUCCAUCCAUCAGGGUGAAGAGCAAAGGAAGCUUCGGCCUCCGCAUUGGGAUGGGCCCGCGGCCCAUUAGCUUGUUGGUGAGGUAAAGGCUCACCAAGGCGACGAUGGGUAGCUGGUCUGAGAGGACGAUCAGCCACACUGGGACUGAGACACGGCCCAGGCUCCUACGGGAGGCAGCAGUGGGGAAUCUUGCGCAAUGCGCGAAAGCGUGACGCAGCAACGCCGCGUGAGGGAAGAAGGCCUUCGGGUUGUAAACCUCUUUCAGGAGGGACGAAGGUUCAGGCGCGAAUAGCGACCUGGACUGACGGUACCUCCAGAAGAAGCCCCGGCUAACUACGUGCCAGCAGCCGCGGUAAUACGUAGGGGGCUAGCGUUGUCCGGAAUCAUUGGGCGUAAAGCGCGCGUAGGCGGCCCGGUAAGUCCGCUGUAAAAGUCAAAGGCUUGACCUUUGAAUGUCAGUGGAUACUGUCGGGCUAGAGUCCGGAAGAG
This 635-nucleotide ribosomal RNA is filed under the name uncultured soil bacterium. Its description in RNAcentral is "bacterial SSU rRNA". It matches the Rfam family "Bacterial small subunit ribosomal RNA", at positions 35 to 656 of the family's 1533-position model. The record is from RNAcentral.